CCUACGGGUGGCAGCAGUGGGGGAUAUUGCACAAUGGGGGCAACCCUGAUGCAGCGACGCCGCGUGAGCGAUGGAGUACUUCGGUAUGUAAAGCUCUGUCAGCAGGGAAGAGCAUGACGGUACCUGACCAAGCAGCCCCGGCUAAAUACGUGCCAGCAGCCGCGGUAAUACGUAUGGGGAAAGCGGUAGCCGGAUUUACUGGGUGGAAAGGGAGCGUAGGCGGCAGGGCAAGCCUGAUGUGAAAGCCCGGGGCUCAACCCCGGGACUGCAUUGGGAACUGCCCCGCUCGAGGGGCGGAGGGGCAGGCUGAAAUCCUAGUGUAGCGGUGGAAUGCGUAGGUAUUAGGAGGGACACCAGGGGCGAAGGCGGCCUGCUGGACGGUGUACUGACGCUGAGGCUCGAAAGCGUGGGGAGCAAACAGGAUUAGAUACCCUUGUAGUC
Molecule: ribosomal RNA, 441 nt
Filed under: uncultured bacterium
Lineage: Bacteria
Description: partial 16S ribosomal RNA
Rfam family: Bacterial small subunit ribosomal RNA
Source: RNAcentral